Molecule: ribosomal RNA, 1399 nt
Filed under: uncultured Marinobacterium sp.
Lineage: Bacteria; Pseudomonadati; Pseudomonadota; Gammaproteobacteria; Oceanospirillales; Oceanospirillaceae
Description: bacterial SSU rRNA
Rfam family: Bacterial small subunit ribosomal RNA
Source: RNAcentral
AGAGUUUGAUUAUGGCUCAGAUUGAACGCUGGCGGCAUGCCUAACACAUGCAAGUCGAGCGGUAGCACACAGAAGCUUGCUUCUUGGGUGACCAGCGGGGGACGGGUGAGAAACGCGUGGGAAUCUCCCUGGUCGUGGGGGACAACAGUCGGAAACAACUGCUGAUACCGCAUACUCUCUUCGGGGGAAAGAGGGGGAUCUUCGGACCUCCCCCUAUGAGAUGAUCCCGCUUCGGAUUAUCUUGUUGGUGAGGAAAAGGCUCACCAAGGCUAUGAUCCGUCCCUGGUCUGAGAGGAUGACCAGCCACACUGGGACUGAGACACGGCCCAAACUCCUACGGGAGGCAGCAGUGGGGAAUAUUGGACAAUGGGGGAAACCCUGAUCCAGCCAUGCCGCGUGUGUGAAGAAGGCCUUCGGGUUGAAAAGCACUUUCAUCUGUGAGGAAAGGCAGGACGUUAAUCCCCGCUUGCUGUGACGUUAACACCAGAACAAGGACCGGCUUACUCCGUGCCAGCCGCCGCGGUAAUACGGAGGGUCCGAGCGUUAAUCGGAAUUACUGGGCGUAAAGCGCGCGUAGGUGGUUCAGUCAGUCAGAUGUGAAAGCCCCGGGCUCAACCUGGGAACUGCACCUGAUACUGNUGAGCUAGAGUACGGUAGAGGGUAGUGGAAUUUCCGGUGUAGCGGUGAAAUGCGUAGAGAUCGGAAGGAACACCAGUGGCGAAGGCGACUACCUGGACCGAUACUGACACUGAGGUGCGAAAGCGUGGGUAGCAAACAGGAUUAGAUACCCUGGUAGUCCACGCCGUAAACGAUGUCAACUAGCCGUUGGGGGACUUGAUCCUUUAGUGGCGAAGCUAACGCGAUAAGUUGACCGCCUGGGGAGUACGGCCGCAAGGUUAAAACUCAAAUGAAUUGACGGGGGCCCGCACAAGCGGUGGAGCAUGUGGUUUAAUUCGAAGCAACGCGAAGAACCUUACCUACUCUUGACAUCCAGAGAACUUUCCAGAGAUGGAUUGGUGCCUUCGGGAACUCUGAGACAGGUGCUGCAUGGCUGUCGUCAGCUCGUGUUGUGAAAUGUUGGGUUAAGUCCCGUAACGAGCGCAACCCUUAUCCUUAUUUGCCAGCGAGUAAUGUCGGGAACUCUAAGGAGACUGCCGGUGACAAACCGGAGGAAGGUGGGGAUGACGUCAAGUCAUCAUGGCCCUUACGAGUAGGGCUACACACGUGCUACAAUGGCCGGUACAGAGGGCUGCAAACUCGCGAGAGUAAGCUAAUCUCACAAAACCGGUCGUAGUCCGGAUCGCAGUCUGCAACUCGACUGCGUGAAGUCGGAAUCGCUAGUAAUCGUGAAUCAGAAUGUCACGGUGAAUACGUUCCCGGGCCUGUACACACCCCCGUC